Molecule: long non-coding RNA, 1922 nt
Organism: Peromyscus californicus insignis
Lineage: Eukaryota; Metazoa; Chordata; Mammalia; Rodentia; Cricetidae
Exons: 3
Source: RefSeq, a predicted model, not a curated record
UCUGUGCUUUCUGAAUCAGCAUUGGAGUGUGCAGUGUUGCCGUGGUGCCUCGUGCCCUGGGCCUGACAGGAGGUCCUUGUAAAGAUCAUGCUCCCCUAAAGGGAAUUAGGAGUCCCAGAAUGCAACUUCUCUAUGGUUCCUCAUUCACCGACUAUGUUCCUCAGCUGUCAGGCGUCGAAACUGAGUCGGACAAGCCUGUCACAUGGUCACUCAUCGCCAAACGGCAGCACCUGACAAGCCAUGGGUCAUUGAGGAGCCGAAUGAUGUAGAUGGAAUCACAGAUCGGAGCUAAUGAUGGAAGCAGCCCUCAUAAAGCCAGAUGUGAGGAGAGUGCACAAGACAUGCUAACGAUGAAGGGUACCCAGGAGCAGGAACUGACUGGAUUCUAGAAUUCCCAUGAGUAAGAUGCAGCAAGAUAAGACUUUCGGUGCAAUAAAAGAAUGAAAAAGAAUUCCUGAGGCAAAGCUCACUGCAUCAUCUCUGAGUUUGGCAAAUCAAAAGGUCCAGCUCUCUAUGAGGCUAGAUUCCCCCAGGCUCCAGAUUAGUUUGGGAAACGUUCUUAAAGAGUGAGAAUGGUUUCCGUUAUGGCCUCCACUGCUUGCCCCCUCCCCUUUUCCCACUUAGGAUGGAGCCCUCUUCAUGGAGGCCUCACAUAAAGCCAACAGCUGUGAGGAAGACGUUCUGAGGACACUCUUCUUUCACCCUGUCCAGGGCCCGACGUAAGGGGUACAGAACAUCUCAGUCCCAAGUAGGUGAUCCUUCUUAAACCCUUCUCUUGAGGAGCACAUAUGAUCCUCAGGUGGGCUGAAUGACUCACACAAGCACCGUGGAACAAAAGUAGCCCCUCAGGGAGCUGGGACUUGGAUACCACCUGACUUGGAUCAUUAUAGACAAGCGUAGACGGUAGCAGCACCUUGUGGGCAUUUAUCAGGAUCUUCUAAACCAAAGAGAGACCAUGUUUAGCUGAGUGGAAAUUGAAGUUGACUACGGUAUGAGUCGCUGUUCUACUGCUAUAGGGAGACAUCAUGACCAAGGCGAUUCUUAUACAAGAGAGCAUUUAAUUGAGGGCUGGCUUACAGUUUCAUGGGGUUAGUCCAUUAUCAUCACAGUGGGCAGCAUGGUAGACAUGGUGCUGGAGAAGAUCUAUAUCCUGAUCUGCAGGGGUGGGGGAGAGAAGGAGAGCGAGAGAGUGAGAGAGCAUGAGAGGGAGAGGGAGUGUGUCUGUGUGUGUGUGUGUGUGUGUGUGUGUGUGUGUGAGAGAGAGAGAGAGAGAGAGAGAGAGAGAGAGAGAGAGAGAGAGAGAGAGAACAGAGCCCACCACCAGCAACACACACCUCCUCCAACAAGGACACAUCUCCUAAUCCUUCCCAACAGCUCAUCAGCUGGGGACUAAGCAUGCAACUUUAUGAGCCCAUGGGCGGAACAUUCUCAUCCAAGCCACCACAGCUACUGACACUCCCCUAAGUAGAAAUUUGAACCUGACCAUGAAUUAAAGGAUUUUAUAGGCAGAGAGGUACCAUGAGAAAGUCUCAUUCCAAAGUCAACAUGCUGGCCAAGCAGUGGGUGUGCUGCUUCUCGGCUUUGCCUGCGGCUUCAGAUCUCAGGGUGCAUUAUGACUUCCAUCCUGGUUCUUUGCAAACUUGGAAACAUAGCAUCCUGCAGCAGAGCUAGGUCCAGGUGUCAGGUCAAAGGGCUAUUUGUUCCCAUGGAAGCUGUACCAACCUAAGAUGAGAUCUCUAAUUUGUUCUCAAUUAGUCAUCCGAAUAAAUGUUCUUCAGCAUCUGAGGACAAGAUAACCUAUGCUAUAGUCAUCUGCCAUCCUCUUCAAGGAAAGACCAGGGCCACUGAAGGCAGUUUAUUACGAAUAUCACCAUCUGGGAGUAUUUGGAUAAAAUCAUUUUCUAACGUAGGUGUCCUUUGCC